This 407-nucleotide ribosomal RNA is filed under the name Verrucomicrobiota bacterium. RNAcentral's name for it is "Verrucomicrobia bacterium partial 16S ribosomal RNA". It matches the Rfam family "Bacterial small subunit ribosomal RNA", at positions 355 to 776 of the family's 1533-position model. Lineage: Bacteria; Pseudomonadati; Verrucomicrobiota. The record is from RNAcentral.
UGGGGAAUAUUGGACAAUGGAGGCAACUCUGAUCCAGCAAUUCUGUGUGUGUGAAGAAGGUUUUAGGACUGUAAAACACUUUUAGUAGGGAAGAAAGAAAUGACGGUACCUACAGAAGAAGCGACGGCUAAAUACGUGCCAGCAGCCGCGGUAAUACGUAUGUCGCGAGCGUUAUCCGGAAUUAUUGGGCUUAAAGGGCAUCUAGGCGGUUAAACAAGUUGAAGGUGAAAACCUGUGGCUCAACCAUAGGCUUGCCUACAAAACUGUAUAACUAGAGUACUGGAAAGGUGGGUGGAACUACACGAGUAGAGGUGAAAUUCGUAGAUAUGUGUAGGAAUGCCGAAGAUGAAGAUAACUCACUGGACAGCAACUGACGCUGAAGUGCGAAAGCUAGGGGAGCAAAAAGG